GUGGGGAAUUUUGGACAAUGGGCGCAAGCCUGAUCCAGCAAUGCCGCGUGCAGGAAGAAGGCCUUCGGGUUGUAAACUGCUUUUGUACGGAACGAAACGGUCCGGGUUAAUACCCUGGGCUAAUGACGGUACCGUAAGAAUAAGCACCGGCUAACUACGUGCCAGCAGCCGCGGUAAUACGUAGGGUGCAAGCGUUAAUAGGAAUUACUGGGCGUAAAGCGUGCGCAGGCGGUGAUAUAAGACAGAUGUGAAAUCCCCGGGCUCAACCUGGGAAAUGCAUGUGUGACUGCAAGGCUGGAGUGCGGCAGAGGGGGAUGGAAUUCCGCGUGUAGCAGUGAAAUGCGUAGUUAUGCGGAGGAACACCGAUGGCGAAGGCAAUCCCCUGGGCCUGCACUGACGCUCAUGCACGAAAGCGUGGGGAGCAAACAGGAUUAGAAACCCGUGUAGUCC
RNAcentral lists this ribosomal RNA (450 nucleotides) under uncultured bacterium. Its description in RNAcentral is "partial 16S ribosomal RNA". It matches the Rfam family "Bacterial small subunit ribosomal RNA", at positions 354 to 796 of the family's 1533-position model. The record is from RNAcentral.